AGCAGCCGCGGUAAUUCCAGCUCCAAUAGCGUAUAUUAAAGUUGUUGCAGUUAAAAAGCUCGUAGUUGAGUUUCGGAACCGAUGGAUCGGUCACGCCAUUCGGUGUGUACUGGUUUAAUUGGUUCUCACCUUCUAAGGAACCGUGAUGUCAUUAAUUUGGUGUCGCGGGGAAUUAGGACUGUUACCUUGAAAAAAUUAGAGUGUUUAAAGCAAGCUCACGCUUGAAUACAUUAGCAUGGAAUAAUGAAAUAGGACAUUGUAUUCUAUUUUGUUGGUUUCUAGGAUCGAUGUAAUGAUUAAUAGGGAUAGUUGGGGGCAUUAGUAUUCAAUUGUCAGAGGUGAAAAUUCUUGGAUUUAUUGAAGACUAACUA
RNAcentral lists this ribosomal RNA (371 nucleotides) under uncultured Glomeromycotina. RNAcentral describes it as "bacterial SSU rRNA". It matches the Rfam family "Eukaryotic small subunit ribosomal RNA", at positions 569 to 942 of the family's 1831-position model. The record is from RNAcentral. Lineage: Eukaryota; Fungi; Glomeromycota.